This 120-nucleotide ribosomal RNA is filed under the name uncultured bacterium. RNAcentral's name for it is "partial 16S ribosomal RNA". It matches the Rfam family "Bacterial small subunit ribosomal RNA", at positions 796 to 918 of the family's 1533-position model. The record is from RNAcentral.
CACACUGUCAACGAUGUGCACUAGGUGCUGGGGCGGACGCUUCAGUGCCGGAGCUAACGCGGUAAGUGCACCGCCUGGGGAGUAUGCUCGCAAGGGUGAAACUCAAAGGAAUUGACGGGG